AACUGGUGAGUAACACGUGGGAAACCUGCCCCCCAUCGGGGGAUAACACCUGGAAACAGAUGCUAAUACCGCAUAACAACUUGGACCGCAUGGUCCGAGUUUGAAAGAUGGCUUCGGCUAUCACUUUUGGAUGGUCCCGCGGCGUAUUAGCUAGAUGGUGGGGUAACGGCUCACCAUGGCAAUGAUACGUAGCCGACCUGAGAGGGUAAUCGGCCACAUUGGGACUGAGACACGGCCCAAACUCCUACGGGAGGCAGCAGUAGGGAAUCUUCCACAAUGGACGAAAGUCUGAUGGAGCAACGCCGCGUGAGUGAAGAAGGGUUUCGGCUCGUAAAACUCUGUUGUUAAAGAAGAACAUAUCUGAGAGUAACUGUUCAGGUAUUGACGGUAUUUAACCAGAAAGCCACGGCUAACUACGUGCCAGCAGCCGCGGUAAUACGUAGGUGGCAAGCGUUGUCCGGAUUUAUUGGGCGUAAAGCGAGCGCAGGCGGUUUUUUAAGUCUGAUGUGAAAGCCUUCGGCUCAACCGAAGAAGUGCAUUGGAAACUGGGAAACUUGAGUGCAGAAGAGGACAGUGGAACUCCAUGUGUAGCGGUGAAAUGCGUAGAUAUAUGGAAGAACACCAGUGGCGAAGGCGGCUGUCUGGUCUGUAACUGACGCUGAGGCUCGAAAGUAUGGGUAGCAAACAGGAUUAGAUACCCUGGUAGUCCAUACCGUAAACGAUGAAUGCUAAGUGUUGGAGGGUUUCCGCCCUUCAGUGCUGCAGC
Molecule: ribosomal RNA, 766 nt
Filed under: uncultured bacterium
Lineage: Bacteria
Description: bacterial SSU rRNA
Rfam family: Bacterial small subunit ribosomal RNA
Source: RNAcentral